CCUACGGGAGACAGCAGUGAGGAAUAUUGGUCAAUGGGCGUAAGCCUGAACCAGCCAAGUCGCGUGAGGGAUGAAGGUUCUAUGGAUCGUAAACCUCUUUUAUAAGGGAAUAAAGUGUGGGAUGUGUCCUAUUUUGUAUGUACCUUAUGAAUAAGGAUCGGCUAACUCCGUGCCAGCAGCCGCGGUAAUACGGAGGAUCCGAGUGUUAUCCGGAUUUAUUGGGUUUAAAGGGUGCGUAGGCGGCCUUUUAAGUCCGCGGUGAAAGUCUGUGGCUCAACCAUAGAAUUGCCGUUGAAACUGGGGGGCUUGAGUGUGUUAGAGGCAGGCGGAAUGCGUGGUGUAGCGGUGAAAUGCUUAGAUAUCACGCAGAACCCCGAUUGCGAAGGCAGCCUGCCAGGGCAUGACUGACGCUGAUGCACGAAAGCGUGGGGAUCAAACAGGAUUAGAUACCCGUGUAGUC
RNAcentral lists this ribosomal RNA (460 nucleotides) under uncultured bacterium. Its description in RNAcentral is "partial 16S ribosomal RNA". It matches the Rfam family "Bacterial small subunit ribosomal RNA", at positions 338 to 795 of the family's 1533-position model. The record is from RNAcentral.